GGAGAGAUCCCAGAGCUCUUCCUGGGAAGGGUUCUCCGGGUGGAUCCCAAGGACUUCUGCAGUGGAGGAUCGGUCUGAGUGGAUCCCGAGAACUUUUCCAGUGGAGGAUCGGUCUGAGUGGAUCCCGAGAGCUCUUCCAGUGACUGAUUCUCCAAGUGGAUCCCGAGAACUUUUCCAGGGAAGGAUUCUCCAAGUGGAUCCCGAGAACUUUUCCAGGGAAGGAUUCUCCAAGUGGAUCCCAAGAACUUUUCCAUUGAAUUAUUCUCCAAGUGGAUCCCAAGAACUUUUCCAGUGACUGAUUCUCCAAGUGGAUCCCGAGAACUUUUCCAGUGACUGAUUCUCCAAGUGGAUCCCAAGAACUUUUCCAGUGAUUCUCCAAGUGGAUCCCGAGAACUUUUCCAUUGAAUGAUUCUCCAAGUGGAUCCCAGGAGCUCUUCCAGUGAAGGAUCGGUCUGAGUGGAUCCCGAGAACUUUUCCUGGGAUGGAUUGGUCUGGAGAGAUCCCAGGAGCUUCUGCAGUGAAAGAUCUCCAAGUUGAUUUCUCCAAGUGGAUCCCAGGAACUUCUCCAGUGGAGGAUCGGUCUGCACGGAUCCCGAGAACUUUUCCAGGGAAGGAUUCUCCAAGUGGAUCCCAGGAACUUUUCCUGGGAAGGAUUAUCCAGGUGGAUCCCAGGAAUUUUCCAGAGGAGGAUUCCCCAGGUGGAUCCCAGGAGCUUUUCCAGGGACGGAUUGGUCUGGAGAGAUCCCAGGAGCUCUCCACAGGAUGGAUUUCUCCGGGUGGAUCCCGGAACUCCCCCAAGGAAGGACUCGUUGGAGCAGAUCCCAGGAGCUCCUCCAGUGAAGGAUUUCUCCGAGUGGAUCCCAGGGAUUUCCCAGUGAAUAAUUCUUCUGAGUGGAUCCCGGGGGCUUUCCCAGUGAAGGAUUUCUCCGAGUGGAUCUCAGGAGCUCCUCCAGUGAAGGAUUCCUCCAAGUGGAUCCCGGGGGCUUUCCCAGUGAAUAAUUCUUCUGAGUGGAUCCCAGGGAUUUCCCAGUGAAUAAUUCCUCUUAGUGGAUCCCAGGGAUUUCCCAAUGAAGGAUUUCUCUGAGUGGAUCCCAGGAACUUUCCCAGUGAAUAAUUCUUCUGAGUGGAUCCCGGGAAUUUCCCAGGGAAGGAUUUCUCUGAGUGGAUCCCGGGGGCUGCUCCAGUGAAGGAUUCUCCGAGUGGAUCCCAGGGAUUUCCCAGGGAAGGAUUCUCUGAGUGGAUCCCAGGGAUUUCCCAGUGAAAGAUUCCUCCGAGUGGAUCCCGGGGGCUGCUCCAGCAGAGGAUUGGCCCGGGCGGAUCCCGGGAACUCUUUGGGAAGGAUUGGUCGGGGCAGAUCCCAGGGAUUCCCCUCGAUCCCGGCGGGAUCCCGAUGGGAGCGGGGAGAGCGAGGAGAGAUCCGGGAGCGCUCCCAGGGAAGGAUUCCCCAGGUGGAUCCCCGGGGAUCGAGAGCUUUGGGACCUGGAAUUCCCCAUGAACUGAGAACUUUGGGAUCCGGAAUUCCCAGGGAUCGAGAACUUUGGGAUCCAGAAUUCCUCAUGGAAUGAGAACUUUGGGAUCACCGGGGAUCAAAAACUUUGGGAUCCCCAAAUCCCCCUGGAUCAAGAACUCUGGGAUCUGGAAUUCCCAUGAACUGAGAACUUUGGGAUCCAGAAUUCCCAUGGAUUGAGAACUUUGGGAUCCCCAGGGAUCGAGAGCUUUGGGAUCUGGAAUUCCCCAUAAACUGAGAACUUUGGGAUCCCCACAAAUCAAAAACUUUGGGAUCCCCUUGGACUGAGAACCUUGGGAUCCCCAGGGAUCGAGAGCUUUGGGAUCUGGAAUUCCCAUGAACUGAAAACUUUGGGAUCCCCCUGGAAUGAGAACUUUGGGAUCCCCCUGGAAUGAGAACUUUGGGAUCCCCAGGGAUCGAGAACUUUGGGAUCUGGAAUUCCCCAUGAACUGAGAACUUUGGGAUCCUCUUGGAAUGAGAACUUUGGGAUCCCCAGAUCCCCCUGGAUCGAGAACUCUGGGAUCUG
RNAcentral lists this long non-coding RNA (2033 nucleotides) under Cyanistes caeruleus (blue tit). Its description in RNAcentral is "lncRNA (ENSCCEG00000004590.1)". Lineage: Eukaryota; Metazoa; Chordata; Aves; Passeriformes; Paridae. The record is from RNAcentral.